GCCUACAACCAUACCAUCCUGAACACACCCAAGCUCAUCUGAUCUCAGAAGCUAAAUAGAGUCAGGCCUGGUUAGUCCUUGGAUGGCAGAUGCUAAGGAAUUCCGGGUGCUGUAGGCU
This 118-nucleotide ribosomal RNA is filed under the name Mustela putorius furo (domestic ferret). Lineage: Eukaryota; Metazoa; Chordata; Mammalia; Carnivora; Mustelidae. The record is from RNAcentral.